UGACAAGUAUCCUACAGUCUAGUCUUGUCUAGAUGAGCAAAAACAGCAAAGAGCUGUGCAGGAUGAGCUGCAGUGUUUACCGAGUUGUGGAUUGGAAACUUGAAUCUCCAGUACAAAUCUCUGAGACGAUCAUUGGAGUUAAAGCCUCUU
This is a long non-coding RNA of Bufo gargarizans (Asiatic toad), 150 nucleotides long. RefSeq lists it as uncharacterized. The transcript is spliced from 3 exons. Lineage: Eukaryota; Metazoa; Chordata; Amphibia; Anura; Bufonidae. The record is from RefSeq and is a predicted model, not a curated record.